UAGCGAUAUAGUAGUACACGAUAGCAUCAUGAAAUAUGGACUUGCUUUUGUGUAUUUCAAAAUUUAGAAAAUAUAUAAAACUACAGUAUACAGAUUCGCAUCUACAGAGCUGUACUGACAAUUUAUAUAAGUGAGAGGUUUGGAAUACAGACAAAGUGCAUAAAGACCUUCCAUCAACGCUGUCUUAGAACGCUGUAUUGUUAAAAGAAUAUCGAUGUUCUCAGGACUGGCGAAUACUACUGAUUUGGAGUGUUGCAUAACAUCUGUGAGACUCCAUUGGUCUGGACUUGUUUUGAGAAUUCCAUAUAUCGGACUUACUAAUUAAUAUCUUUUGAGAUGGACUCUUACCUAAUGUACUCAUUCUACUUUAAUGAAAAAAAAAGAUCACAGUGCAGAUUAAAAACAAAAGAAUUUUGAUUGAAUGUUGCCAACGAGGAUGUUUUUAUUGAAAAUUGAUCAGAACAAGCUACCGUAUUAACCGAAAAUCGUUGAGGAUCCUGAGACUUGAUCAAGCUGAUAUCGACAACCAGUCACCUUAUGAAAAGACUGCUGAAACUUUAGAUAUUUUGAAACCAAGCCUUGUAUUGUGAGAUGAAAUCAUUGUUUGACCUAAACCUGGAAUUUAAAGUACAAACCUAGCAUUAAUACUUUCUACUUUAUAGUGUGUAAUUUAAUUGCUGUGCAAGGACAAUGAAGUAUACAUAUUACAUAUUGUGCAAUUCUUAAAAAUUGCUUAGGAAAAAUAUUUUGUUGGCCCCCUCAGAGAAUUAACUACUUUAAUUAUAGUAAAAUGACAUGCAGCAUUUUAUAGGCUAACAAAUAUUUACUACCCCUAUUUCAUGAUGUCACUGUAAUUAUGAAAUCUAUGCAAUUAAUUAUGAAGUAUCAUUAUUUUAUUUAAAUUAUCUAACCAUCUUAUAUCUCUGAUCACGGAUUAAUAUGCCAUUGGUAGAACUAUGUUUAUUGCAGAGGAGUUGAAUAGCUUGGUGGUUAAGUUAAGUGAAUUUCUACACUAAUAAUUUUGUGUUCAGUUAUGUGUGUUAAAGUGAAAAAUAUCGUCGCAAACAAUGUUUUGGUUUUAUAUUCCGUAAAACAAGGGGGGAUUUUAAUGAUAUUGUAUGUACAGUAGUGAAAUGUUGAUAUGAUACAAAAACAUACACAUUAUAGAGUAGUACAGUACUUUGAAAUAUUCAAUACAAGAACAUCACUCAAGAUUAGUAACAUAAUUAAAUUUCUUCUAGAAGCUUCAUACUGCAUAUCACUGAAUUAAUGCACUGUAUCAUAGUAAUGAAAACUUUUGGAAUUUACAGUAUGUCUGUUUUUUUAAUCAUUUUAAAUGACCAACCAAUGUUUUACAUUAUUUUAAAAAAAAUAUUGUUCACAUUUUAUGCUAAAUUAUCUGUAUAUUAUACAAAUAUUUUGUAAUUAUAUUGUAUUAUAAUGCAUGUUUUCCCAGUCAGCGAUAAGAAGCUCACCACAAAUUUGCUAUCCAUGUUUUAAAUCUUGUUCAGUGGACAGAUCUUUUGUAAUCUACAUUUUUUCAAUUAUUUCUAUUGAUAUAUUUUAUUAUUAUUAUUAUUGUUUUGUUAUUAAUAAUAUUAUGGUGUGAAUUAUAUUUAGUAUAGUAUAGUAGUAAUUCAAUGAAGCAGUCUUCUCAGGUUUUGCUUAAUAAUUUUAUCUUUAGUAAUGCGCAAGAAAAGAAACAAAACUGGAACCUUUGUUUUACUGUACUAAUACAAGUUAUGUAUAAAAUCCUAUUACUGUGCAAUGUUUCUUCAGUGCAAUAUUCAGCUCAUCACCAUAAAUGCUUGGUUAAGUUACCUCUUUAUAUUAGUGACACAUCUCUGUAUCAAAUUAAAUUCUCAAUGUUCUUGAUGCUUAAUUUUACUGUAAGAAUCACUGAGGUUAAACAAUACUAAACUUAAUUAUUAAUUGUAGUUGUUUUCUUAUAAUUUCUAGGGCAAGAAAUAUACAGUAUAUUUUUUAUUAACAGUCGACUUCAGUGAAUAUAUUAGUAUAAACCUCCAGUAUAUUAACUUUGUAGUUUCAGCACUUGGCAUUCAUUUGUAUAAAUAUGUUAUUAUAUUAUUAUAUAAUUGUGACUGCAAAGGUAAUAAAUAUUAAUCUAAG
This is a long non-coding RNA of Anneissia japonica, 2130 nucleotides long. RefSeq lists it as uncharacterized. The transcript is spliced from 3 exons. Lineage: Eukaryota; Metazoa; Echinodermata; Crinoidea; Comatulida; Comatulidae. The record is from RefSeq and is a predicted model, not a curated record.